CAAACAGCUAUGCAGGCUCCUCUAUGAAUCACAUGUGCUGGGAAGAAGGAACUGCUGACAUAUACCAGAUGAGCUAGCAUUACCAUCUUUCCAUAAAGAUUUUUUUUUCUUCUUCCCCAGAAUGGUCUGUACAGCAAAUUGCCAUGCUCUGAAUAUAUGAUUCUGGUGUUGCAGAAUAUAGUUUAUUUAAAUUUCUGUAACAUGAUGGGCUAUUGCAGAAGGAUGACGUGGACAAAUUGGAAAAGGAAAGGUUUCCUACGCUGUUCCCUCAGCACGCCUGCUCUGACCCGAGGCAGAGGUGUGGAGGCUCUCGCAGGAACACCAGCGUUGAAGGAACUUUGACAUAUCGUCUCUUCCCAGGAGCUUGGCCCUGCGCUGCAGCCUCUCCGCGCCGUGCCCGAGGCCAUCCAUCACGGAGCAAGGAGACUUGCCCGUGUGUGAUGACACUAAUUUUCUGACUGAAAAAGCAGACAUGCAACGUGCUUUCCCAUAAGCAGAGUCACAGUCUUCGUACCACGUGCAGCCAGCUGCUGAGUAAGGGUUUGAGCCAAAGCCCACUGAGUCAGAGGGAGCCUCUCCUCGGACAUCAGGAGCCUUCGGAGUCCUUCCGCAGGGGCUCGGGGUCCUUACGCAAUAACUUUAUACAGUGAAGGAUGCUGAUUUGGCCAGUGACCUUCAGAAGAGGGUUCAGAAGAUUAUACCCAGCUUCUACUUCUAAAUAGUCUAGCUUUGAUUUUCAUCACAGUUCCACUUAAGAAACCCAUUAGUAUCUUGUUUACCCUGUUUUUUUUUUUAAUCUUACUAUGACUUUUGAUUUUGUUGCCAACACCUUUCUCAUAGUUUUCAGAGACAAACCAAUAGCUUUAAAGAUUAAUAGUCUGCCCAAAUGCCUGCAGUAUCUCCACAUCUGAUAAAAUAACUACCAGUAAUUCACAAAUCUUUUAAAAUUUGGAAGCGCACGGGGACACAGCAGAAGAACUUCUGUUUUAACGGAGUAGAUAACUCUUUUCAGUGUUUUUUGUAAGAAUAAUCUCUAUACUUUUAGGACAGUGUUCUGUCUUUCUCACUAGCUCUAAUGAAGGUGAAACCCUCACGUUAGCUCUGUAGUAAGACACAACUCAGACCAUUGUUUAUUCCUUAAUUUCUAGUUAAAAAAGUUGUAGGUUUUAUGAAUGCUCAACAGAAUGUGUGGCUCUCUUAGUGUUAUAUAAAGAUUGAAAACAAAUAAUCUUUAAAAACAUAAUUAAUUACUAGCAUUAUGCAUAGUCACUGGAAUUAACUACAUUGUGUAACUCGUACUAUACCUCUCUGCACAGAAAUGCAUCUUGCUCUCCAGAAACGU
This 1342-nucleotide long non-coding RNA is filed under the name Apteryx owenii (little spotted kiwi). RNAcentral describes it as "lncRNA (ENSAOWG00000017517.1)". The record is from RNAcentral. Lineage: Eukaryota; Metazoa; Chordata; Aves; Apterygiformes; Apterygidae.